AGGAUCGAUAAUGGAACGUCUUCCAGUUUUGAAACAAAAAAGAUCUGACAUCAUUAAUUAUUUCUGGUGUAAGCGGAAUUGUGACAGUAACAGUAACUGUUACAGUUUUUGUGAUAAUUUGCGUAAAACAAAGAAAAUUGCAAAAAUUGACAAAGGGUACAAAACGUUCAGGUGAAGCUGAAAUGUCGGACUUUUCUGCCGUGACUGGAGUUGAUAAUCGAUAUCAAGAAAUGGACGAACAUACUGAAACUUAGAAAUUAUCUGAUUCCAGGGACGGUCCUGUUAGUAUAAGAAUAAGAAUAAAUAACAUUUGCAACACUUAAAUGUUUUUUUUUAUUCAAGGUACCUUCCUUUUGAUGAAAAAAAAUCAAACAAACAUACUUAAACUUCAACAUAUUCUUGGAAGUCAGUUGUACUUUAUUUCAAGUAACUAUAUUUUUAUUUAAUUUUCUGACAUGGUAUCUGGCUUAACUAGAAAUUUGAACGUAGUGUAUUUUAAAAUUGGGUUGUUGUUCCUGUUCAGAUGCGUGCACUUUUCUCAACAUUAUCCUCAUAUCCAUUUAUAUAUCUAAUUACAUGUAUAAUUUACAUCUUUUUUUCAUGCUUAUUACUGCAUUUGUAUUAUAACUUUUGUUUGCAAACAUGAUCAAUAAACGCUGAGAUUUCUAUGAAAUACCUAAGAACAUAUAUGAUACAUCAUUAUUUUAUUGGAAAAGGUCAUAUGUAAAUAUAGCAUGUACUAUUUGUUUUUGAAAAAAGAAGUGUUUUUGUGAGUAUAUUCUCUUGUAGAUGUUUGUCUUCAAUCUUCUGAUCUUCAGUAUUAUAGGUAAUAAAGGUAUUUCUAUCUUUUUUAAUAUUUUGAAGAGAGCAGCCUUUUUAUAAGACUGUUAUCCUACAAUACAAUAACCCUGCAAAAAGAUUUGUACAGUGUUUUCACGAUGUAUUUAAUACUAAUAGUUUGCAUUAUUUCUUAAACAUAAAUUGUUGUUGAGAUGAAUUAUUAUUUUUGAGUGAUUGAAAUCAUAAUGUAUUCAGCUAUAUAAUACUCAUUAGAUCGCAUAUUCUACAUAUCCAGAAACUUUUGUGUCUGUUAUAAAAGGUUUUCAUGUGCAAAUAUAACAUUGUUUUCCAUGUA
Long non-coding RNA from Mercenaria mercenaria, 1135 nucleotides. RefSeq lists it as uncharacterized. Lineage: Eukaryota; Metazoa; Mollusca; Bivalvia; Venerida; Veneridae. The record is from RefSeq and is a predicted model, not a curated record. The transcript is spliced from 3 exons.